CGUGAACAACAUGCCCUUGAGUGGGGGAUAGCCCGCCGAAAGGUGGAUUAAUACCCCAUGGUACCUUCGGGUUAAAGGUGGCUUCGGCUGCCGCUUAAGGAUUGGUUCGCGCCCUAUCAGCUUGUUGGUGAGGUAAUAGCUCACCAAGGCUACGACGGGUACCUGGUUUGAGAGGACGAUCAGGCACACUGGAACUGAGACACGGUCCAGACACCUACGGGUGGCAGCAGUCGAGAAUAAUUCACAAUGGACGAAAGUCUGAUGGUGCAACGCCGCGUGGAGGAUGACGGUCCUAGGACUGUAAACUCCUGUCAUCAGGGAGUAAGACCUGGAGGUUAAUAGCCUACAGGGUUGAUAGUACCUGAAGAGGAAGGGACGGCUAAUUCCGUGCCAGCAGCCGCGGUAAUACGGGAGUGGCAAGCGUUAUCCGGAAUUAUUGGGCGUAAAGCGUCCGCAGGCGGCCUUGUAAGUCUGUUGUUAAAGCGUGGAGCUUAACUCCAUUUAAGCAAUGGAAACUGCAAGGCUUGAGUGUGGUAGGGGCA
RNAcentral lists this ribosomal RNA (542 nucleotides) under Verrucomicrobia bacterium MS-M-44. RNAcentral's name for it is "bacterial SSU rRNA". It matches the Rfam family "Bacterial small subunit ribosomal RNA", at positions 116 to 659 of the family's 1533-position model. The record is from RNAcentral. Lineage: Bacteria; Pseudomonadati; Verrucomicrobiota.